This is a long non-coding RNA of Pipistrellus kuhlii (Kuhl's pipistrelle), 164 nucleotides long. RefSeq lists it as uncharacterized. The transcript is spliced from 3 exons. The record is from RefSeq and is a predicted model, not a curated record. NCBI's taxonomy places the organism in Eukaryota, Metazoa, Chordata, Mammalia, Chiroptera, Vespertilionidae.
CAGGGCAGAGCUAUCCUCAAUUUUGUGUAACUGGAGCCUAGCCCUCACCCAACCAAUCAGGGUCAGUCAAAGCAGUGACAUCACCACCCCUAUAAAACCCCUUGACCUGCCAUAACCAGUUUGGCUCAGUGGAUAGAGCAUCAGCCUGCAGACUGAAAGGUCCC